This 3203-nucleotide ribosomal RNA is filed under the name Nitrososphaerota archaeon. RNAcentral's name for it is "Thaumarchaeota archaeon 23S ribosomal RNA". It matches the Rfam family "Archaeal large subunit ribosomal RNA". The record is from RNAcentral. Lineage: Archaea; Thermoproteati; Nitrososphaerota.
CAGUUGGAGGAUGGCUUGGCUUGAGAAGAGAUGAAGGACGUGGCAAGCUGCGAUAAGCUCAGGGUAGGUGCAAGCGACCAUUGAUCCUGGGAUGUCCGAAUUGGAAUCCUAUGCGCAAGCAUACUCCAUUACAAUGGUAGUGGAGAUCGAACCGUCGGAAGUGAAGCAUCUGAGUACGACGUGGAAAAAAAAUCAACAGAGAUUUCCCAAGUAGCGGCGAGCGAAACGGAAACAGCCCAAACUGAAUCUGCCAUGGCAACAUGGUAGAGAUGUGGUGUCGUUAUGGUAUUACGAUCCAAAAUUCUCAGCUCAAGUGGCCUGGAACGGCCUGCCGUAGAGGGUGAAAGCCCCGUGAGCGAACGAAAAAGGGAUCUUACCAUAACACGAGUAGUUGUCCUUGGUAGUGGGCAAUGAAUAUAGGUGAAAGUAGCAUCUAAGGCUAAAUAUUUCUCAAGACCGAUAGCGGACUAGUACCGCGAGGGAAAGCUGAAAAGUACCCCGGAAGGGGGGUGAAAAGUGCCUGAAACCAACUGGUUACAGACGUACAUGGCAUGAAAGGAGUUUUUGUCAGAUUGGAGGUUCUAGCAAUAGGGCUGAAGGUCUGGCGUUCAUAGCUCUAGUGUCAUGUGUUCCGUCUAGAAACACGGGCCAGGGAGCUUACCGUUAUGGCAAGCCUAAGCUUUUGCAGAGCGGAGGCGAAGGGAAACCAAGUUCUCGCAGUGUACAACGAGGAGAAGCGUGUGAAAGUGCGUUGAGUCAUAGCGGCAAGGCUAGAAACCAGACGAUCUAUCCCUGAACAUGACGAAGUUGGGCGAAAGCCCGAUGGAGGUCAGUAGCAGUUCUAACGUGCAAUUUGUUUGUGUGAUUUGGGGAUAGGGGUCAAAAACCAAUCUAGUCUGGUGAUCGCUAGUUCCUAACGAAGUGUAUCGCAGUACAGCCUCUGUGGAGGUAGCGUGUCCUGUAGAGCACCGAUAGGGCAUGUCGGGCGAGAAAUCGUUCGCUGCCCAUUCGAACUCCGAAGGGAUGUGCGCCGUAGAAGCAGGGAGACGGAUUUACGUGGCGUAAGGCUCGUAAUCAAGAGGGGGACAACCCAGACUGAGGUUAAGGUCCCCAAGUUUCUGCUAAGUGUCAAACUAAAGGGCGUAUCUAGGCCAAGACAGCAGGGAGGUAAGCUCAGAAGCAGCUACCCUUUAAAAAGUGCGUAACAGCUUACCUGCCGAGCCUGGGUGCCCCGAAAAUGGACGGGGCUAAAGCAGAACACCGAUACCUCGGAUAUUUGUAGAUAUACAAAACAUGGUAGUUAGGCGUAAGGAUUGGGUCGAAGCAGGGCUGUGAAGUCCUGUGAACCGAUCCCUAUUGCAGAUCCUGGCGGCAGUAACAGCAUAGUGAAGUGAGAAUCUUCACCAUCGUAAGCGUAAGGGUUUCCCGGCAAUGCGUCGUCAGCCGGGAGUUAGUCGAUCCUAAGGUUAACCUCAACAGAGUUGACUGAAUGGGAAACUUGUUAAUAUUCAAGUACCUUGCAGAUGACGUUAUAAUCUAGAAAUCGCUUCAGGAUAGGGUAUACAGAACCGUCGUUCUGUCUAACAGCCCAAGGGUCAGGGAGUGUCGUAAUGACGAGAACUGGCUCGAGGCUGGAAUGGCUUGGCGUUAGCUGAGUUCGCUCAAAUCCAGGAGACCUUGAAAAAUUUCGUAGUGAGCUAUUUGCGAAGAUCGUACCGAGAACCGACACAGGUGCGCUGGAUGAGAAGUCUAAGAUGUAUCGGGUAUACCGUAGGCGAGGGAACUCGGCAAACUAGUCCUGUACCUUUGGUAUAAGGGAUGCCUGCGUAGGUAAUGAAGAAUUGCCAUCGUAGGUCGCAGUGACAAGGGGGUCCCGACUGUUUAAUAAAAACACAGGUGACUGCUAGGGAGAAAUCCUUUGUAUAGUCACUGAAUCCUGGCCAGUGCAGGUACCUAAAACCUGGGUUCAACUGGGCUAAGGGCCUGUAAACGCCGGGAGUAACUCUGACUCUCUUAAGGUAAUUGGAUUGCCUUAGUAAAAUCUGGCCAUAUGCUGGAAAGUCUGAAGUAUGUCGGGCUAGGUUAUUUCAAAAAAAAUUUGGAUAAUCUGAAAAUGCCAUGACUGCAGAUAAUCAGCAGGAAAGGCUAGAAGGUUUGAUCAAGAUUACAAAUCUUUGAUGAUAAACGAACAGAAAAGAUCAAACGUUUUCUAGAAUCCUCAGAGACUCUACGCCAGAAAUCGUUGUAAAACGAUUAAGAUAGAGUCCGACCCCUGCAGCGAUGCAGGGAAGUUUGCAACAAAAAGCAAACUCGCCUCGAUUGUUUUGAGGUCACUUAAGUAACAGAAGUGAGCCAAAUGCCUUGUCGGGUAAGUUCCGACGUGCAUGAAUGGAACAACGAGGGCCCCGCUGUCCCCGCCUACAACCCGGUGAAGCCACAUAAGCUGGACGAACAGUCCAGCAUCUUCCAUCGGGGAGAGAAGACCCCGUGGAGUUUUACUGCAUCUUGUGCUUGCGGUAUGGUGGAAUUUGCAUAGAGUAACUGGUAGCCAUGCUAAUGCCUUUUCGGGGGCAUUGGAAGCGAAAGUGUAACACCAGUCAUUUUUCUUCGUACCGCUUACCAGGGUAAAAUCUGGGACAGGUGCAGGUGGGCAGUUCGGCUGGGGCGGCACCCCUUUGAAAAGAUAUCAAAGGGGCCCAAAGUUCAGUUCAUACGGGUCAGAAAUCCGUAGUAGAGGGCAAGGCCAAAAACUGGACUGACUGGAUCUCCAAACGCACGGGAUUCAGAGACGAAAGUCGGGCCUAGCGAUCCAUGACGUCCCCACUAUUGGGGGCUCGUGGUGACAGAAAAAUUACCCCAGGGAUAACAGGCUCGUCGCGGGCGAGAGCUCCUAUCGACCCCGCGGUUUGGUACCUCGAUGUCGGCUUUUCCCAUCCUGGCCCUGCAGCAGGGGCCAAGGGUGAGGCUGCUCGCCUAUUAAAGGGGAACAUGAGCUGGGUUUAGACCGUCGUGAGACAGGUCGGACUCUGCCUGAUGGAAGCGUGGUUGCUUGAGGGGAAGUUGCUCCGAGUACGAGAGGAACAGAGCAACGUAGCCUCUGGUUUAACGGUUGUCCGACAGGGCAGGCCGUGCAGCUAAGCUAUUUGGGCUAACUCCUGAAAGCAUCUAAGGAGGAAACCCAUCCCGAGAAAAGGCAACCCGUC